Etheostoma cragini (Arkansas darter) is the source of this 320-nucleotide long non-coding RNA. RefSeq lists it as uncharacterized. The record is from RefSeq and is a predicted model, not a curated record. The transcript is spliced from 4 exons. NCBI's taxonomy places the organism in Eukaryota, Metazoa, Chordata, Actinopteri, Perciformes, Percidae.
UAUGUAAGACAUCAACUAUGUGGGGCUCAAAUACGGGCCGUUUCACAAUAAUUGAUGGCAAAUUUGGUCAGACUGUGUUGGAUUUCCGAAGCUCCACAGUCUGACGUGACAGCCGGCCUGUGCCUGCCGGGGUCGCUGGCAUGCCGGCCAGCCUGUCUACCGUCACAGACCCCGCUGUGAGCUGGCUGGAGCUCUCUCAGGAGCGUCGUGCACAAGAGGCGUUUAUUUUCCCAAAUGUUUGUCUAAAUAACUCAACACACAUAUCCAUUACAAGAUUAACUGGAACCUGCAGGGCUGCUGUGAAAGAUUGCGGGUGUAAC